This 405-nucleotide ribosomal RNA is filed under the name uncultured bacterium. Its description in RNAcentral is "bacterial SSU rRNA". It matches the Rfam family "Bacterial small subunit ribosomal RNA", at positions 355 to 775 of the family's 1533-position model. The record is from RNAcentral.
UAGGGAAUAUUGCGCAAUGGGGGCAACCCUGACGCAGCAAUACCGCGUGAAGGAUGAAGGUUUUCGGAUUGUAAACUUCAGCAAGCAGGGAAGAAAAAAAUGACGGUACCUGAACAAAAGCCACGGCUAACUACGUGCCAGCAGCCGCGGUAAUACGUAGGUGGCAAGCGUUGUCCGGAUUUACUGGGUGUAAAGGGCGCGUAGGCGGGUGUCUAAGUCAGACGUGAAAUACCGGGGCUCAACCCCGGGGCUGCGUUUGAAACUGGAUGUCUUGAGUGCGGGAGAGGAAAGUGGAAUUCCUAGUGUAGCGGUGAAAUGCGUAGAGAUUAGGAGGAACACCAGUGGCGAAGGCGACUUUCUGGACCGUAACUGGCGCUGAGGCGCGAAAGUGUGGGGAGCAAACAG